CCCUCAAGGAUUGAGCUCAUAACGCUGGGUUUAGUAGGCCAAUGCUCAAACCACUGAGCUAUCCAUCCUCUCCUUAUUUCACCCCGAUCUCACCCAUUCAAUCAGACACCUCUGAUCCUCUCCCCAUAGGUCUCUGCAUCCCCACUUGCAUUCAGCCCCUUGCUCAAUGUCACCCCACUGACUCCUGUGACCACCACCACCCAGCAGCCCCAUGUGCCCCAUUGUGUCCAUCCCCCCUAUAUCGCUUACCUCCACACCUGGCCCCAUGGACAGAGUGCUGUGAAGAAAGAACCUCUAACCCCCUCCCUCUUCUCCAGCCGUAAGCCAGCUGCCCUCUCUUUUGGUGCCACAGCAGCCUCUAGUAGGCAAAAGCUGUAAUUACAGUGCUUCCCCAUCAAAAUCAAUUCUGCAGUGAUAAGAAAUCAGCAGGGCCUAUGAAUUCUGGGCUUGCACAGAAAUGCAGAAUUCCUCCAGAAAUAUUGCAUAUGAAGCGACACUACUGGUGUUAUCAGUGAGAUGUAGGGAAAAAUCAAGCCCUGGUACAGAGGUGCCUAGAGCUGUUAGGGUUCUUUCAUUAACUAUACUCUCCUGUUGGCCAUGUGGUUGCCAACUUUCAUUUCUGAAAACAGGACCCUACAGCAAGAGUGCUGGAAGUUUCUCCUGCCCCACCUUGUCCCCCAAAGGCUCUAGCCCCUGUUCUGCCUCUUUCAUUGAUGCCCUGACCCUUCCCCCCACUUUCCCCUCUCCCGUCCCACCGCAUUUCUCGUCACUCAAUCUUCACUCUUCCCCAUCAGAGCUCUCUCUAUGCCAGGGAUGGGAUGGGAUGGGAGCUGCAGCCCCGACAUGGAGACUGUCUGCCCACAAGAUACAGAUAGGAGGUGUCCCUGAGUGUGCAAAGGCUGGAGUGGGUUGAUGACCCUCUCCCACCUGCCCCAACCCCUGGUAACCAGACUUUUGGUGUGCAGUCAGUAGAUCUGAAAAGAAGCUGCAGAUCCCCUUUGACUGGACUUUCUGGUUUAAAAAAAAAAAAAGGACACUUGGCAACCCUAGCCAAGGACCACGCAAUUGAUUCAAAUCACUGUAUAUGACUGAUGAAUUACUAUCCAAGGACAGAGCAGUCCAGGUGUGGGAAGAGACUUUCUAUAGAGAAGCUGUUCUAACAUCCAGAUUGACAUUUCUGCAGACAGCUAUGGGUGCUGAUGGAAAAACCGUGGAGUCAUGCAAAGUUGGACAAACGAGCGCGUGGCAGACAGCCCAUGGAAAGUAACAUGUGGAGCUAAGUUCUCCUACGCAUGUUGCAGAUGUGAUGGCAACAAGGAGGACCACUUUCACUGACAGAUGUAGGAGCAGACAUGUAGCCAAGAGUUCAAACGGAGGUCUGCAUGGUCCAGAAAGGUGUCCAGUCUGGAUUUGAAGACACCAGGAGAUGGAGAACUCACUUCCCUUGGUAACACUGAGAUCAGAACAAAAUCUGAGAGCAGAAAUUGACCAGAGCAGGAAAUGCGCAAGGGGUGGGGCGAAGGGACCUCGGACAGGACAGGAGACAGAUUCUGAAAUCACUUCCACUUCUCUUCCGGCGCAGACUGACAGCAGCGUCCUGACUCCCUUUGGGCAGGGCUGGCAUACAGAAGACAUGGGAAAAGCUGCUGUGGCAGACCCUGGAAGAGCAGGGGGACCAAGAGCUGAGGAGAUAUGAGAGCAGGCUGCAAGUGGCCCUGCUGGACAGAGGAGUGAGGCACAUUCCCUGUGAGAAGCUGGACAUAGGGUCUGCCACAGCUAUUAACAAUGUGCUGAUCAGGUUCUGUGCCGAGCGCUGUGGGGUGGAAGUGACCGUGAAGGUGCUAACAGACAUCGACCACAGAGACAGUACAGAAUGAGCUCAGGAGAGAUCAGACCCCCUCAUGGGGAACCCCUAUUACACACCCCGACCUGCCCUCUUAUUUCCGUGCACAGCCCAGCCAGGGAUAAAUCCAGCUCUUGCCAUCAGGAAUCAGCAGCUCAAUUCCCCGAAGCUUGUCCCCUUCUGCCCUGUUCCCUCCAGCCUCUUCCAGUCCUGCCUCUUCCCCACCUGUGGCUCCUCAGUCCAGUCCCACUCAUCUUUCCAGCAAGUCCCAGGUUCUCCUUGCCCAGCCAGUCCCAGUUCCCCCCAGUUCCUCAUCUGAUCUGUAUCUCCCCCUCCCACUACUGGUUCUUAGCCCGUUUUCUUGUCCAGCCAGUCCCUGUCUCACCCUGUCCAAUCUCGCUGUGCCCUGUCUCCCCAGCCCUCCACCCAGCGGGUCCCAGUCCCCUGUCGUUUCUGUCACUGGCCGAGUCGUGGGUGCUCUGGCCUAAUGGGCAGAGCAAGAGUCUGAACUCAGAAGAGACGGGUCCUGAGGCAGAGCCAAAGGUCGGAGCUGGGAGAUAGAAGCCAAAGUCUAAGCCGAAGGGUAACGAGUCACAGUCAGGAGGCACAGCCAAGGGUCGGAGCUGGGAGUCCAAAGCCAGCAUGGAGCUGGGACUGGGCCUGGGGCAGGCGUAGGUGCAGGCUGGGGCUGGAGCAGGAGCAGAGCUAGACACAGCACAGCAGGGGCAGGACCCAGCGCAGCUGCAGCCAAGGAACACGUUGAGCAGUCGGUGCUCUGCUGUUGUUGCUGGACUUAUCAACCAGGCUGCUGGCCCGGUGGCCAGUCAGACCCUGCAAUCAAUCAGGCAGCUGGGCCUACUAGUUGCCAGGCAGCAAAGCUAGUCGGGGAGCAGCCCAGUGACUGCUCCUAGCUGACCUGACCCCUGUGACUUCCCUACUUUCCGGGGUGCCUCCCAGAAGCCCUAGAACCAGAAUUCUUGGGGUCUGCCCUGGGAAAGUUACGCACAAGGCUCAGGGCACGGCUAUGUUCCAUGGGAUCCCAUGAACUCUCAGAACUCCCCGUUUCCUUUAACAAAGAAAAGCCACGGGGUGACUUGCUUACAGUCUGUAAGUAUCACAUAGGGAACAAAUAUUUCAUAAUGGGCUCAUCAAUCUUGCUGACAAAGGUAUAACAUGAUCCAGUGGCUGGAAGUUGAAGCAGGACACAUUCAGAUUGGAACUAGGGCACCCAUUUCUGGCACUGAACGUAAUUAACCAUUUUGGAACAAUUUACAAAGGUCUUGGUGGAUUCUCAAGAUGGGAUGUUUUGUUAAAUGAUCUGCUCUAGGAAUCUCCCACCCCCUCAAAUCUUCUCUAUACUUCUGCCACCCACACCCAAGAACUCUCCUGGUUCACUCCCAGGAUCCUCCCAGCAAUUAUUUCCCUCUCCCUCACUCCUCCGUUACCUGACUCCCGCAAGCCUUUGCACUGCUUCUGAGGGGUGCGGGAAAUAUAUCUCUAUAUUGUAUUUUACAUGAAUUAUUACUCAAAGUUUUGUAUUAAUAUGCCUAGUAAGGAAUCCAUUUGUCAAAAACACCUCAUGAAUCUUUUUUGCCAUCUGUAUUGUUACCGACAUACUUGCUGACAGGGAUUUUUUUAAAUAAAUUAGCAAAAUAAUUGAAACUAGUGUGAUUAUACAGUGUU
Gopherus evgoodei (Goodes thornscrub tortoise) is the source of this 3526-nucleotide long non-coding RNA. RefSeq lists it as uncharacterized. The transcript has 3 exons. NCBI's taxonomy places the organism in Eukaryota, Metazoa, Chordata, Testudines, Testudinidae. The record is from RefSeq and is a predicted model, not a curated record.